Molecule: ribosomal RNA, 666 nt
Filed under: Enterobacter hormaechei
Lineage: Bacteria; Pseudomonadati; Pseudomonadota; Gammaproteobacteria; Enterobacterales; Enterobacteriaceae
Description: bacterial SSU rRNA
Rfam family: Bacterial small subunit ribosomal RNA
Source: RNAcentral
GCGUAAGCGCACGCAGGCGGUCUGUCAAGUCGGAUGUGAAAUCCCCGGGCUCAACCUGGGAACUGCAUUCGAAACUGGCAGGCUAGAGUCUUGUAGAGGGGGGUAGAAUUCCAGGUGUAGCGGUGAAAUGCGUAGAGAUCUGGAGGAAUACCGGUGGCGAAGGCGGCCCCCUGGACAAAGACUGACGCUCAGGUGCGAAAGCGUGGGGAGCAAACAGGAUUAGAUACCCUGGUAGUCCACGCCGUAAACGAUGUCGACUUGGAGGUUGUGCCCUUGAGGCGUGGCUUCCGGAGCUAACGCGUUAAGUCGACCGCCUGGGGAGUACGGCCGCAAGGUUAAAACUCAAAUGAAUUGACGGGGGCCCGCACAAGCGGUGGAGCAUGUGGUUUAAUUCGAUGCAACGCGAAGAACCUUACCUACUCUUGACAUCCAGAGAACUUUCCAGAGAUGGAUUGGUGCCUUCGGGAACUCUGAGACAGGUGCUGCAUGGCUGUCGUCAGCUCGUGUUGUGAAAUGUUGGGUUAAGUCCCGCAACGAGCGCAACCCUUAUCCUUUGUUGCCAGCGGUUAGGCCGGGAACUCAAAGGAGACUGCCAGUGAUAAACUGGAGGAAAGUGGGGAUGACGUCUAGUCAUCAUGGCCCUUACGAGUAGGGCUACACACGUGC